Long non-coding RNA from Patiria miniata (bat star), 125 nucleotides. RefSeq lists it as uncharacterized. NCBI's taxonomy places the organism in Eukaryota, Metazoa, Echinodermata, Asteroidea, Valvatida, Asterinidae. The transcript is spliced from 3 exons. The record is from RefSeq and is a predicted model, not a curated record.
CAAAACCUCCCAAGACAUUUUGGAUUUGCGCCAGUAUUAUACGCAACAAGUGUGAGUUUACCAUGGGCAAGAGUGUAGAUGGCAUCGAUAACACUGUUGGUUUCCGGCUUGGUGCUUACAAAAGU